AACAAGCAAACGCACUGAAGCCGGUUGAAAAGAAGCCCCAGUCACGAGAAUUUCUGGCUGAAUUGGUUCUGCUAGAAUCCUGCUAGAAUGAUUCUAGCAGGCCUGUUCGAAUCCUGUUAGCAUUUUGCCAGAAUGUUCUAACAGAAAAAAUCUGUCGAAAAUGACGUCAUUUUCGCCAACCUCGUGGUCAAUCACAUUUUCCUCGGCCAUCUUUCAUUUUUUCGGUGCCUUUAGAGUACAAAAGUUCUUUGUAUUUCACGAGCAACUUUAUUUUUACACAAGGUUCUCAACGGAAAAUGGCCGGAUUGAAGCCCUAUAGAAACUCACCACAAAAGGCAGAAACAGGCAUGUUGCAGUCAUUCAAGGACACAAGAUAGCAGGAGGUGAAGCUGAUGUGUUUUUGUGAAAAGAAAUGAAGAAAUAAAUGAAAUCAAAGUUAUAUUCUGUAAUUGUUUUUUUUAAUGACAGUCAUCAAGAAGAAAAGAA
Molecule: long non-coding RNA, 486 nt
Organism: Culex pipiens pallens (northern house mosquito)
Lineage: Eukaryota; Metazoa; Arthropoda; Insecta; Diptera; Culicidae
Exons: 2
Source: RefSeq, a predicted model, not a curated record